UAGGUUGAAGUCUCUUGUGUAUCUCAAUCUUAAUGGUUGCUCAAACUUAGAGGCUUUUCCCGAAAUCUCCGAAAAUAUGAAUAGUUUACAAUGUCUUUUUUUGUGUGAAACGGCUAUAAAAGGGCUACCAUCAUCAAUUGAAAAUCUAGUUGAUCUUCGACUCUUGGUACUGGAUAAUUGCAAAAACCUUGCAACUCUUCCAAGCAGCCUUUAUCAUUUGAGACAUCUUACAACUCCCCGUCUUGCAAACUGUUCAAGACUCCAUAAACAUCCGGAGAAGUGGAACCUGGAAUCUUUAGGUAGUAUUGGUUCGCAAUUGGCUUCCUUGAAGAGGAUAUCUCUAAGAGGAGCAGAAAUCUGCAGCAUAUCUGUCGUCAUCACUCAACUUAGUAACCUGGAAUUUCUUAAUAUGAGCGACUGCAAGAUGCUUGAAGAAAUUCAAGGGCUUCCACAGAGUUUGGACAUGGAGAAAUAUUUGGAGCUGGAAAGCAGUUCCAUCCAAGGUUAUCUUUGUUUGGAUAAGACUAGUGCCAUUAAAGAAUUUCCCUCCUCAAUUGAUGAUCUCACCAAACUUGGGAAGUUAAGUUUGAAAAACGGGAAGAAGAGUCUUCCGAGUAACACUGGUAGGUUGAAAUUCCUAGAUGAACUCUAUGUCAGUGAUCAGCCAAACCUGGGGACUUCUCUGGAAUCACAGAUAACGGAAUAUCUUAAGGGGCUCAAACUGAACUUGCAGAGUUUUAAAAGCUUAGAGCACUUGUUUCUGAUGGAUGGAACAGUCGCCAAUAAUUUAUGGUGCCUAUCAUCAGUAAAAUAUUUAGAUCUAAGUGAAUCCAAUUUUCAUCACAUACCUGACGGUAUUACUGAAUGUUGUAAUCUGAAACGCCUUACUAUCCGUCACUGCAAGAAACUUAAAGAAAUUCCAAAGCUUCCAUCAAGCCUACUGAUGAUAGAUGCACGCGGCUGCACAGACCUGGGAACAUUAUCAACUCCAUCAAGUCUUCUCUGGUCUUCUCUCCUCGAAUGGUUCAAGAAAGUUCAGAGGAUGGAAAAUUUUAAGGGGCUCAAACUGGACUUGCAGAGUGUUAAAUGCUUAGAGCUCAUAUUUCUGAUGGAUGGAAGAAUCGCCAAUAAUUUAUGGGGCCUAUCAUCACUAAAAUCUUUAGAUCUAAGUGAAACCAGUAUUCAUCGCAUACCUGCUGGUAUUACUGGAUGUCGUAAUCUGGAAUUCCUUACCAUCCGUCACUGCAAGAAACUUAAAGAAAUUCCAAUGCUUCCAUCAAGCCUACUAAGCAUAGAUGCACGCGGCUGCACAGACCUGGGAACAUUAUCAACUCCAUCAAGUCUUCUCUGGUCUUCUCUCCAUAAAAGGGUCCAACUUCAGGAAUCACAGAGGAAGGAAAUUUUCAAGGGGUUCAAACUGGACUGGUGGAGUUUUCAAAGCUUAGAGAACUUGUUUCUGAUGGAUGGAGCAAUCGCCAAUAAUUUAUGGGGCCUAUCAUCACUAAAUUCUUUAGAUCUAAGUGAAUCCAAUUUUCAUCACAUACCUGAUGGUAUUACUGAAUGUUGUAAUCUGAAACGCCUUACUAUCCGUCACUGCAAGAAACUUAAAGAAAUUCCAAAGCUUCCAUCAAGCCUAGAAUGGAUAGAUGCACGCGGCUGCACAGACCUGGGAACAUUAUCAACUCCAUCAAAGCUUCCAUCAAGCCUAGAAUGGAUAGAUGCACGCGGCUGCACAGACCUGGGAACAUUAUCAACUCCAUCAAGUCUUCUCUGGUCUUCUCUCCUCGAAUGGUUCAAGAAAGUUCAGAGGAUGGAAAAUUUUAAGGGGCUCAAACUGGACUUGCAGAGUGUUAAAUGCUUAGAGCUCAUAUUUCUGAUGGAUGGAAGAAUCGCCAAUAAUUUAUGGGGCCUAUCAUCACUAAAAUCUUUAGAUCUAAGUGAAACCAGUAUUCAUCGCAUACCUGCUGGUAUUACUGGAUGUCGUAAUCUGGAAUUCCUUACCAUCCGUCACUGCAAGAAACUUAAAGAAAUUCCAAAGCUUCCAUCAAGCCUACUGAUGAUAGAUGCACGCGGCUGCACAGACCUGGGAACAUUAUCAACUCCAUCAAGUCUUCUCUGGUCUUCUCUCCAUAAAAGGGUCCAACUUCAGGAAUCACAGAGGAAGGAAAUUUUCAAGGGGUUCAAACUGGACUUGUGGAGUUUUCAAAGCGUAGAGAACUUGUUUCUGAUGGAUGGAGCAAUCGCCAAUAAUUUAUGGGGCCUAUCAUCACUAAAAUCUUUAGAUCUAAGUGAAACCAGUAUUCAUCGCAUACCUGAUGGUAUUACUGGAUGUUGUAAUCUGAAACACCUUAUCAUCCGUCACUGCAAGAAACUUAAAGAAAUUCCACAGCUUCCAUCAAGCCUAGAAUGGAUAGAUGCACGCGGCUGCACAGACCUGGGAACAUUAUCAACUCCAUCAAGUCUUCUCUGGUCUUCUCUCCUCAAAUGGUUCCAACUUCAGCUUCCUUACGGCAAGUACUGUAGGAGAAUUAUUCUUGGAAGUAAUGAAAUUCCAGAGUGGGUAUUGCAUCAGGAAAUGGGAAGCCAAAUAAGAAUAGAGCUUCCUAUGAAUUGGUAUCAGGAUGACCACUUCCUCGGAUUUGCAUUUUUCUGUCUUUGUUCAACAACGCAUCGUCUUGUGAUGAAUUGUCGUUUGACCUUCUGUGAGGAUUCAGAAAAAGACAUCAGGGAAUUUUGGUUUGAGCGCUUUGGAUACUUCACGAAUAUUGGUGAUAGUGAAUUUGAUGGACUGGGGGUGGAGUACUGUCCUAAGAUGGCUAUACUGAAAAGGUUCCACUCCAAGCAAUAUGUGCACCUUCAGGCUUCAUUUGAUUAUCAUCGAUAUGGUGGUUGGCGUGAUGACGUGGAAAGUGGUUGGGGUGAUGACGUGGAAAGUUGCGGGAUCCAUCUUAUAUACUCUCAAGAUCAUCAACAUAACCAUACCCCGUUGGGUUUUCAUGACACCCAACAUGAUGAACACUACCAUAUGCCCAUGUUGUUGAAUCUUCCUGAGAAUUCUGGUGACAAUAGAUUGGCAGCAGAAGAUAUCAAUGGUAAUUUUAAGAAAAGUUGCGAUGAUGCAGAACACGACCAAGCAGAGGAUUGAGAGAACCCAACACAGAUCUCAAGCUUCAAACUAAAUCAUAUCACCAGUUUGUAGAUAAAUAUCGAUCCAACCAGUGGAGGAACUUUAAGGCUUCAUUCGAGGGCUCUUAUCGAUGUGGCAAUAGCAGAGACCUUAAAACGAGAAGUUGUGGGAUCUAUCUUCAAUAUGCCCAAGGUCGUCAUCAUCAUCAUUAUCAGAACCAUUGGCUUCAGAUGCUGAAAGAAAAUACAAGUUGUAAUAUUAAGAGAAGCUGUGACGGUGCAGAGAAUCACCCAACAAAGGACCCAUAUCAGAAAAGAUCAAGACGUCUCUAGCUAGUUUUUCAACUAAGACGGCCGUUUCACUGGCAGAGCUCGAUCUUGACACUCCAACAAAUUUCAGUGGUUUUAGCAGGUUUUGCUCCAAGAAUAAGGCAUGCGAUAUGAGGGAAAUUUUGUCUAACUGGAGUUCAAAAGAAGACAAAAAUGGAUGCAUCUAUAUCUGAAGUCUUGACAAUCACUUUUAUGGUCCAAACUCGAUCCAUUCAAAGAGCAAAAACUGAACUUUGAACUCAUAGAGUCCAGACUCUCUCUAAAGAGGUCCAGCACAUACUGAAAUUCUUUUUUGAAAUUUAGCUACUGGACUAUAUAUAGGGUCCCGGCUCUCUAAAUAGGUCUGGACCUGAUUGUGCUUUGAAGCUCCUUUUUCAGCUUGCUUCUUGUUAUCUUAUGCCUUCACAUGACAAGCAACCCAGGUUUUGGUUAUGGGAGAUAUUGAAGCUCAUUUGGCAAGAAAUUUGGGAGACUUAUCUCAGACUUUUUUGAGAGGUGUUCUCUCAUUUUUCUGGAUCGGGUUAGGUUUUCUUUUUCUUUGUUUGUAAUCUUCAAGGUUGUAAAAUGGUUGGAGAUCCAUCCACAGAGGAGCUCUAAGAUCACAUUCAUGGCUAGACUCUCCAGCUAGGGAAAGGUUAGUUUGAUGUAAUUUUUUUAUACAAUGUAUUGGCUUCAAAUUGCACUCUAUCAAAGUUUCUGUGUUUCCAUUUCAUAUCUUCAUUGCAUUUGUUGCUUUAAAUUUUCUUGCUUCGA
This is an RNA transcript of Vitis riparia (riverbank grape), 4209 nucleotides long. It is a transcript of the gene named disease resistance protein RPV1-like, with no coding region annotated. The record is from RefSeq and is a predicted model, not a curated record. The transcript has 9 exons. NCBI's taxonomy places the organism in Eukaryota, Viridiplantae, Streptophyta, Magnoliopsida, Vitales, Vitaceae.